AGAAGAAGCACCGGCUAACUCCGUGCCAGCAGCCGCGGUAAUACGGAGGGUGCGAGCGUUAAUCGGAAUUACUGGGCGUAAAGCGUACGCAGGCGGUUUGUUAAGCGAGAUGUGAAAGCCCCGGGCUCAACCUGGGAACUGCAUUUCGAACUGGCAAACUAGAGUGUGAUAGAGGGUGGUAGAAUUUCAGGUGUAGCGGUGAAAUGCGUAGAGAUCUGAAGGAAUACCGAUGGCGAAGGCAGCCACCUGGGUCAACACUGACGCUCAUGUACGAAAGCGUGGGGAGCAAACGGGAUUAGAUACCCCGGUAGUCCACGCCGUAAACGAUGUCUACUAGGAGUUCGGUUUUUCGGAACUGUCUUCCAAAGCUAACGCAUUAAGUAGACCGCCUGGGGAGUACGGCCGCAAGGUUAAAACUCA
RNAcentral lists this ribosomal RNA (420 nucleotides) under uncultured bacterium. RNAcentral's name for it is "bacterial SSU rRNA". It matches the Rfam family "Bacterial small subunit ribosomal RNA", at positions 483 to 903 of the family's 1533-position model. The record is from RNAcentral.